UACAGCCAUUUCAGGUUGAAACAUUGGUUCUCGUACGAUCACCGAAGUUAAGCAAUGUCGAACAUGGUCAGUACCUAGAUUGGUGACCGCUUUGGAAUACCAGGCUCUGUAA
Non-coding RNA from Acanthosepion pharaonis, 112 nucleotides. The record is from the annotation of a GenBank genome assembly. Lineage: Eukaryota; Metazoa; Mollusca; Cephalopoda; Sepiida; Sepiidae.